Molecule: non-coding RNA, 1957 nt
Organism: Paramisgurnus dabryanus
Lineage: Eukaryota; Metazoa; Chordata; Actinopteri; Cypriniformes; Cobitidae
Source: RefSeq, a predicted model, not a curated record
AAACAGAAAUGUAGAAUGACAGUCGCUCAAUCUGUUGCAAGCAAUGACUUUCAAACAGCAAGUGCUAAAGAAGCCAAACACGCAGAAUUACAAGUCCAACGCUGAAACUGCUGGAAAAGAACAGUGAAAAAGAUACAGGUCUUCAUUCUUGAUGGGAUUCAGAAACUGAACUACUGUGUCUUCACAGACAAAUAAUCCAAAAUAUGCCUAAGAGUGUGGAGUAAACAGCAUCAAGCCUCUCUUUAAUAGGGAACUCAUCUACAAAAACAAACACUUGUUAUACUUUUAUGAAUUAUCAAGUUGUACAACACACAGCAAUAAGGAUUUAGACAAACAAUCACAGAUUUUAUUAAUUUUAUUGUUGUGUCUAAUAUAUAUAGAAACAACUUGUGUUGUAAAAGAAAGGAUGACAGCAUAUCUCUUUAUCACGUGCCAGUAUAGGCCCUGACUGCACGUGAGAACAUUUGAAUUAUCUGGCACGAGGCCUCACACGUCAUACUUCAACUGACACAACGGUCUCGAUGGUAGGAAUAAGCAAAAGCUCCUUUAAAUUUCGUCAUUUUUUUUAUACACAUCCCGUUUAUUUUGUAGUUAAUUGUUAGAUAAGUUAGUAAUUUCGUAAAUUUUUCGUUACAGGGUAAGAUUUCGUUACCAUAUACAGUAAAUAUUGGUUCAAGAGGGCAGUUUGAUAACUCAGUCGAGGUUUGUAAAUGGGGUUUCUGUUCCUGCAGUCUUUCAGGGGUGCUGGCGCGUAUGACGAUGCGGACAUGAACAGCAUACUACAGUAUACCGCCACCUACUGUACUGUAGUACAAUAACGUCUUUUAAACAUCUAAACAUGUCCUCCAAAAAGGUUUCCUGUGCUGUUUUGCUCCAUUUUACUGAACAAAAUAAGGCUGAGGUAGCACCAUCCUUGUGGUUAGAGUGAAAGAAUGUGGGUAUUGAGACCAAAAUAAACAAUGUGCCAUUCUGGACAAACAGCUGUGGACAAUAUGCAGUCAGAGUAGCCCAUUUUCUCACACAGACCUGAGGAUAAGAUUUCCAGUUUAAAAGUGAAGAAAAUGAAUCAUUAUUAACAGCAAAUAGGAGUAUUUCUCAGCUGAAAAGCCAGGUGAAACUAUAAGGUCACUAUGAUUCACUUUCAUAUUAUCAUUCUUUUCAGAUUUUUUUCCCUGUGUUUUUUUUGUUAGAUGAGGAGCAACCAGUAAGAAAAAGCAAAAAGAUGUUUUGAUGUUGCCUGAGGCACCUUAUUUUCCAUUUCAUGCACAAUCACAAAUGCAGCACAUCAAUCAAUUUCUUCCAACCAGCGAAUCAAGAAAUCUUGGAGUGGAGAAUCAUUCUGAAAGUAGACCAAAUCCAGGACAACAUCACAACAGUGGUCGGAAAAAUGCAGCAAGCCAAGCUGACUUUCAAAAGAUGAUUCGUUAUCUGUUUCUUCAGAGGGGAGGCAGUUUGGGAGAUGGGAAUUAGGAGGAUGCUACAGUUACACAGGGCAAAUUUCAGCAGCUCAGUUUCAAACUUGCAACUAACAUUGAGUUAAACUGGUCAGGGUGGAAGACCAGCUGACGUACCAGUUUUGCCAGGUUAAAGGACCAGCUUAAACCAGCUAAGACAGCCAACCAACUUAGCCAAGGUGGUAUAUGCUGGUGGGUCAGCUGGUCUUCCCGCCUGACCAGCUAAGACCAGCUACAAAGUGGCCAAAACCUCUGUAAAACAAUCCUGCUACACCAGCCUGACCAGCUGAAACCAUACUGGGAGUUAGAAGACCACGGAAAUAUUUGACAUCGGAGUCCAGCAGACAGCCAGAGACACGCACACACACGCAGCUGAAGCGCGUUUGACUGACGCGUACGGGAGAUCCGGCACGCGCACGGGAGCUCGCGCACGCUCACACAAACACGGAGCACAGGAUAAUUACAACUGUUUAAUUAAAAUAAAAGAACUUUGUGGUAUACAA